GAUGAACGCUAGCGGCAGGCCUAAUACAUGCAAGUCGAACGAUAGUAUUAAGCUUGCUUAAUAUGAAAGUGGCGCACGGGUGCGUAACGCGUAUGAAACCUACCUUAAUCAGGGGGAUAGCCUUUCGAAAGAAAGAUUAAUACCGCAUAAUAUCACGAUGGGGCAUCCUGUUGUGAUCAAAUAUUUAUAGGAUUAAGAUGGUCAUGCGUGACAUUAGCUAGUUGGAGAGGUAAUGGCUCACCAAGGCGACGAUGUCUAGGGGAUCUGAGAGGAUGGCCCCCCACACUGGUACUGAGACACGGACCAGACUCCUACGGGAGGCAGCAGUAAGGAAUAUUGGUCAAUGGGCGGAAGCCUGAACCAGCCAUGCCGCGUGCAGGAAGACGGCCCUAUGGGUUGUAAACUGCUUUUAUUCGGGAAUAAAUCUUUCUACGUGUAGGGAGUUGAAUGUACUGAAAGAAUAAGGAUCGGCUAACUCCGUGCCAGC
RNAcentral lists this ribosomal RNA (487 nucleotides) under uncultured bacterium. RNAcentral's name for it is "bacterial SSU rRNA". It matches the Rfam family "Bacterial small subunit ribosomal RNA", at positions 28 to 512 of the family's 1533-position model. The record is from RNAcentral.